GGAGGAAGGGCGAGAUCCGUAAAGCCAGAGUUGGAAAGGGACGGAGGGGCGGGGCCCCGGGAAACAGAAGGGGCCGGCCUAUCGGUGGGUAGGGCUGGGGAGGGAGGCUGAGCGAGUUCGGUACACACAGGUUACACGUGUUCGACUGAGUAAUAUAGGGGAGAAAAAAAAGAAGGAAAGAGAAUCCUUACAGGUGCCUGAAGCAGUCGAGACCAAAAAGGGACAUUAGUCUUCUUCUGCACUUGGACUGAAACUUACACCAUCAGCUCUCCUGGUUCUCAGGCCUUCAGACUUGGACACAAACUAUACCACUGGCUAUCCUGGGCCUCCAGUUUGCAGACAGCAGAUUGUGGGACAUCUCAGCUUCCAUAAUUGCAUGAGCCAAUUAGUUAUUUAUUUAUAAUAAAUUAAUAUAUAAUCAAAU
Molecule: long non-coding RNA, 424 nt
Filed under: Equus asinus (donkey)
Lineage: Eukaryota; Metazoa; Chordata; Mammalia; Perissodactyla; Equidae
Description: lncRNA (ENSEASG00005025443.1)
Source: RNAcentral